RNAcentral lists this ribosomal RNA (332 nucleotides) under uncultured eukaryote. Its description in RNAcentral is "partial 18S ribosomal RNA". It matches the Rfam family "Eukaryotic small subunit ribosomal RNA", at positions 1470 to 1796 of the family's 1831-position model. The record is from RNAcentral.
CCCUUAGAUGUUCUGGGCUGCACACGUGCUACACUGGCAGAUUCAGCGAGCUUCAUGCCCUGAUCUGAAAGGAAUGGGAAAUCUUUUCAAAACCUGCCGUGCUUGGGAUAGAUGUUUGCAAUUAUUCAUCUUCAACGAGGAUUGCCUUGUAAGCGCACGUCAUCAGCGUGCAUUGAAUACGACCCUGUAUUCUGUACACACCGCCCGUCGCUCCUACCGAUUGAAGUUUUCGGUGAGUUGACAGGAGGAUUUUUUUGAAACUGGUUCGCCAGUGGAUUUUAGAUCCAAAUGCCAACGAAUCGAUGGCUUUAGAGGAAGGAGAAGUCGUAACA